AAAUAUUCGAAUUAUGUGUCUGCCUGGCUCCCUGAAUGCCAUGUAAGUUAGUUUGUUAAGAAAAGAUUAACAAACGUCUUAUAUGGCAUGAAGGGAGUCACGCAGGCGAUUCAUUUUGAAACAUAU
This 126-nucleotide microRNA precursor is filed under the name Arachis hypogaea (peanut). RNAcentral's name for it is "miR160 stem-loop (ahy-MIR160)". Its record names the gene ahy-MIR160. The record is from miRBase by way of RNAcentral. Lineage: Eukaryota; Viridiplantae; Streptophyta; Magnoliopsida; Fabales; Fabaceae.